RNAcentral lists this ribosomal RNA (329 nucleotides) under uncultured Pseudomonas sp. RNAcentral's name for it is "bacterial SSU rRNA". It matches the Rfam family "Bacterial small subunit ribosomal RNA", at positions 1056 to 1382 of the family's 1533-position model. The record is from RNAcentral. Lineage: Bacteria; Pseudomonadati; Pseudomonadota; Gammaproteobacteria; Pseudomonadales; Pseudomonadaceae.
CAGCUCGUGCCGUGAGAUGUUGGGUUAAGUCCCGUAACGAGCGCAACCCUUAGUCCUUAGUUACCAGCACGUUAUGGUGGGCACUCUAAGGAGACUGCCGGUGGACAACCGGAGGAAGGUGGGGAGUGACGUCAAGUCAUCAUGGCCCUUACGGCCUGGGCUACACACGUGCUACAAUGGUCGGUACAAAGGGUUGCCAAGCCGCGAGGUGGAGCUAAUCCCAUAAAACCGAUCGUAGUCCGGAUCGCAGUCUGCAACUCGACUGCGUGAAGUCGGAAUCGCUAGUAAUCGUGAAUCAGAAUGUCACGGUGAAUACGUUCCCGGGCCUU